Molecule: long non-coding RNA, 1550 nt
Filed under: Coturnix japonica (Japanese quail)
Lineage: Eukaryota; Metazoa; Chordata; Aves; Galliformes; Phasianidae
Description: lncRNA (ENSCJPG00005002812.1)
Source: RNAcentral
GGUAGUUGGCGAAUAAGGGGGGAUGGGGAGGGGGAUAUGGGGACAAAGGGGAGAUGGGGGGUCAAUGGGGGGGGACAAUGGGGGGGAUAGUUGGGGGGGGAAGGGGGAAAUGGGGGGUCAAUGGGGGGGAUGGGGAUAAGGGGGGACAAAAGGGGUAGGUGGGGGAGAAAGGGGGGAGACGAGGGGGGAUAUGGGGACAAAGGGGCCCAGGACAAGGGGGGGAUGGGGGACAGAAGGGUGGUGGGGGGACAAGGGGGGGGUGGGGACAGGAUGGGGACAUGGGAUAGGAUAUGGGGCAGGAUAUGGCGAUAGGAUGGGGAUAAGGGGAGGGGGAUAUGGGGCAGGAUGGGGAUAUGGGGCACAGAAAGGGGUAGCAGAGAAGGGCAGGAGGGGAGCCGUCAUCAGGAGCCGUCCCUGCACCGACCCACAGCCCCUGGGGGGGCACCAUGGGUGCAGGAUGGGCGGCUAGCGCCAACAGCUGUGGGUGCUGGAGGACCCAUAGCCUGCGGCUAAUGGGGUGGGGAGGGGCCUAUAUCCAGCACCCAUGGGUGCUGUGGGGCUCUUGACCCACAUCUGUGGGUGCUUGAGCGGUCUCCUAUAUGCUGCACCUAUGGGUGCUACAGCAAUCUGGUCCUGCACCCAUGGGUGCCUCACCUCAUCCUAUAGCACCCAUAGGUGCCUUACCUCGUCCAUUAGCACCCAUAGGUGCCUUACCUCAUCCUAUAGCACCCAUAGGUGCCUUACCUCGUCCAUUAGCACCUAUAGGUGCCUCACCUCGUCCUAUAGCACCCAUAGGUGCCUUACCUCAUCCUAUAGCACCCAUAGGUGCCUUACCUCGUCCUACAGCACCCAUAGGUGCCUUAUCUCACCCUAUAGCACCCAUAGGUGCCUUAUGUCAUCCUAUAGCACCCAUAGGUGCCUUACCUCGUCCAUUAGCACCCAUAGGUGCCUUAUCUCACCCUAUAGCACCCAUAGGUCCCUUACCUCGUCCAUUAGCACCCAUGGGUGCCUCACCUCGGCCUUGAGCUCGUCGAUGUGAUCCUUCAGCUGCCGGAUGUACUGAGCGGCGUCCGAGUGGUUGAGCUGCCCUUGGAUCAUCCCCUCCUCCCUCUAUGGGGCGCAGAGGGGUCACCCCGUCACCCAUAUCCCACCCUAUAUCCCACCCUAUAUCCCACCCUAUAUCCCACCCUAUAUGUCACCCUAUAUGUCCCCCCCCCACCCCACAAACCUGGAUCUCCAGCUCGGCCACCCUCUGUCUCAUCUCAGCCAGGGCCGCCAUGCUGUCGGCCUCGCGCAGCCUCACGGCCAUCACCUCCUCUUUGCUCUAUGGGGGGGGGGGGGGGACAUUGGGGGGCACCCAUGGGUGUCAAUGCCCACCCAAUGGACAGCCCCAUAGAAGGGACCCCAAUGGGUAUGGGGACCCCAAGGGGGGGGAUAUGGGGACCCCAAGGGAGGAGAUAUGGGGACAUAAGGGACCCCAGGGGGGGGAUAUGGGACAUAAGGGACCCCAGGGUGGGGAUAUGGGGACAUAAGGGACCCAAGGGGGGAUA